CGAGUGAAGCGGCAACAGCUCAAAUUUGAAAUCUGGCGCCUUCGGUGCCCGAGUUGUAAUUUGUAGAGGGUAGCUCGAGCCCGCCCCCGUCUAAGUCCCCUGGAACGGGGCGUCGUAGAGGGUGAGAAUCCCGUAUGCGACGGGGUGGCGUGCUCGUGUGAGCUCCCUUCGACGAGUCGAGUUGUUUGGGAAUGCAGCUCUAAAUGGGAGGUAAAUUCCUUCUAAAGCUAAAUACCGGCCAGAGACCGAUAGCGCACAAGUAGAGUGAUCGAAAGAUGAAAAGCACUUUGGAAAGAGAGUUAAAAAGCACGUGAAAUUGUUGAAAGGGAAGCGCUCACGACCAGACUCGGGCGCGGCUGCUCAGCCGGUCUUCUGACCGGUGCAUCGGUCGCGCCCGGGCCAGCAUCGGUUCGGGCGGUCGGAUAAAGGUCUCGGGAACGUAGCUCCCCUCGGGGAGUGUUAUAGCCCGGGGCGCAAUGCGGCCUGCCCGGACCGAGGAACGCGUUCGCUAGGAUGCUGGCGUAAUGGUCGUUAGCGGCCCGUCUUGAAACACGGACCAAGGAGUCUACCAUCUGUGCGAGUAUUAGGGUGUCAAACCCUUGUGCGUAAUGAAAGUGAACGGAGGUGGGAACCCUCGGGUGCACCAUCGACCGAUCCAGAUGUCCUCGGACGGAUUUGAGUAAGAGCACCGCUGGUGGGACCCGAAAGAUGGUGAACUAUGCGCGGAUAGGGUGAAGCCAGAGGAAACUCUGGUGGAGGCUCGCAGCGGUUCUGACGUGCAAAUCGAUCGUCAAAUCUACGC
This 802-nucleotide ribosomal RNA is filed under the name Blastacervulus eucalyptorum. RNAcentral's name for it is "partial 28S ribosomal RNA". It matches the Rfam family "Eukaryotic large subunit ribosomal RNA", at positions 90 to 916 of the family's 3401-position model. The record is from RNAcentral. Lineage: Eukaryota; Fungi; Ascomycota; Dothideomycetes; Asterinales; Asterinaceae.